AUACGGAGGGUGCGAGCGUUAAUCGGAAUUACUGGGCGUAAAGCGCGCGUAGGCGGCUAAGUAAGUCGGAUGUGAAAGCCCUGGGCUCAACCUGGGAAUUGCAUUCGAUACUGCUUGGCUAGAGUAUGGUAGAGGGUAGUGGAAUUCCUGGUGUAGCGGUGAAAUGCGUAGAUAUCAGGAGGAACAUCAGUGGCGAAGGCGGCUACCUGGACCAAUACUGACGCUAAGGUGCGAAAGCGUGGGGAGCAAAUAGGAUUAGAAACCCCAGUAGUCC
Molecule: ribosomal RNA, 274 nt
Filed under: uncultured bacterium
Lineage: Bacteria
Description: partial 16S ribosomal RNA
Rfam family: Bacterial small subunit ribosomal RNA
Source: RNAcentral